AGUGAACGCUGGCGGUAGGCCUAACACAUGCAAGUCGAACGGCAGCACAGUAAGAGCUUGCUCUUACGGGUGGCGAGUGGCGGACGGGUGAGGAAUACAUCGGAAUCUACUUUUUCGUGGGGGAUAACGUAGGGAAACUUACGCUAAUACCGCAUACGACCUACGGGUGAAAGCAUGGGAUCUUCGGACCUUGCACGAUUGAAUGAGCCGAUGUCGGACUAGCUAGUUGGCGGGGUAAAGGCCCACCAAGGCGACGAUCCGUAGCUGGUCUGAGAGGAUGAUCAGCCACACUGGAACUGAGACACGGUCCAGACUCCUACGGGAGGCAGCAGUGGGGAAUAUUGGACAAAGGGCGCAAGCCUGAUCCAGCCAUACCGCGUGGGUGAAGAAGGCCUUCGGGUUGUAAAGCCCUUUUGUUGGGAAAGAAAAGCAGCAGGUUAAUACCCCGCUGUUCUGACGGUACCCAAAGAAUAAGCACCGGCUAACUUCGUG
Molecule: ribosomal RNA, 492 nt
Filed under: uncultured bacterium
Lineage: Bacteria
Description: partial 16S ribosomal RNA
Rfam family: Bacterial small subunit ribosomal RNA
Source: RNAcentral